UACGGAGGAUCCAAGCGUUAUCCGGAAUUACUGGGCGUAAAGAGUUGCGUAGGUGGCAUAGUAAGCAGAUAGUGAAAGCGUGUGGCUCAACCAUACUCACAUUAUUUGAACUGCUAAGCUAGAGGAUGAGAGAGGUUAUUGGAAUUCCCUGUGUAGGAGUGAAAUCCGUAGAUAUAGGGAGGAACACCGAUGGCGUAGGCAGAUAACUGGCUCAUUCCUGACACUCAGGCACGAAAGCGUGGGGAGCAAACGGG
RNAcentral lists this ribosomal RNA (254 nucleotides) under uncultured bacterium. RNAcentral describes it as "partial 16S ribosomal RNA". It matches the Rfam family "Bacterial small subunit ribosomal RNA", at positions 524 to 776 of the family's 1533-position model. The record is from RNAcentral.